Callorhinus ursinus (northern fur seal) is the source of this 600-nucleotide long non-coding RNA. RefSeq lists it as uncharacterized. Lineage: Eukaryota; Metazoa; Chordata; Mammalia; Carnivora; Otariidae. The record is from RefSeq and is a predicted model, not a curated record.
CGGGGCCGGAGGCUGAGAGGGGAGGCGGCCCCCGCGCCCCGUUGAUUGGCCGCUCCGUCCCGCUCAUCAAGCUCUUUUGUGUCAAUGGGUAGAAGCUAACUGAAGCGGCGGCUGCUGGGAGGGCUCAGCCGGUGGUUGGGGGAGGCCGCAGCUGCGGUGGGAACCGUGCUGCCUCGACUUCGCUACCCCUGGCUGGGAGGCUGUGCGGUGCAGCUCCAUCCAGCAGCUCCGGUUCGCUCGGUGGCGGAGGAGGCGUCAUCCUUUUCCCCUACAGGGCCGCGGGGACUGGAAGGCGGUAGCCGCAGCUGUCCACACCGGAGCAUCCGCUGCCCACCAGCCGGGCACAGGCCAUCAGAGCCAAAUCCGAACUUGAAUUCUGUCUGAGCAGCUGAUUGCAGAGCUGUCUUGACGCCCUGAGGACUGGGAUCUGCAAACCCCACUGGACGGAGGUCAAGACUGGGAUCUGCAACCCCCCAGUGGACAGAGGUCGACCUACCCCGAAGGCGAGCUUUCUCAUGGAGGGCACCUGUUGUAGAGGCUGGAAGUGAAAUAAAGGCGUGCACUUGUUUCCGAGCUUAUGUUUUAUAAUCCGAGAAAUAA